RNAcentral lists this ribosomal RNA (716 nucleotides) under uncultured Thermoprotei archaeon. RNAcentral's name for it is "bacterial SSU rRNA". It matches the Rfam family "Archaeal small subunit ribosomal RNA", at positions 147 to 845 of the family's 1478-position model. Lineage: Archaea; Thermoproteati; Thermoproteota; Thermoprotei. The record is from RNAcentral.
UAAUUCAUGAUAGGUCAUCUCAUCUGGAAGGAGAGAUGGCUUAAAGGGAAACGCGGGCUUCUUCCGCGACAUUCGCUCCAGGAUGGGACUGCGGCCGAUCAGGCUGUUGGCGGGGUAAUGGCCCACCAAACCUGUUACCGGUACGGGCCUUGAGAGAGGGGGCCCGGAGAUGGACACUGAGAGAAAGGUCCAGGUCCUACGGGGCGCAGCAGGCGCGAAACCUUCGCAAUGCGCGAAAGCGUGACGAGGUUAAUCCGAGUGGUUCCCGCUUAGGGGAUCUUUUGUCGGCUCUAAAAAGGCCGGUGAAUAAGGGGAGGGCAAGUCUGGUGUCAGCCGCCGCGGUAAUACCAGCUCCUCGAGUGGUCGGGACGAUUAUUGGGCCUAAAGCAUCCGUAGCCUGUUCCGUAGGUCCUCCGUUAAAUCCAACGGCUUAACCGUUGACAUGCGGGGGAUACCGCGGGACUAGGAGGCGGGAGAGGCGGGCGGUACUCCACGUGUAGGGGUAAAAUCCUUUGAUCCGUGGAAGACCACCAGUGGCGAAGGCGGCCCGCCAGAACGCGCUCGACGGUGAGGGAUGAAAGCUGGGGGAGCGAACCGGAUUAGAUACCCGGGUAGUCCCAGCCGUAAACGAUGCGAGCCAGAUGAUCCAAUCGCAAAUCGCGAUUGGAGUGUCGCAGGGAAGCCGUUAAGCUCGCCGCCUGGGGAGUACGGUCGCA